UCCUGGCUUAGGAUGAACGCUGGCGGCGUGCCUAACACAUGCAAGUCGAACGGAGUAAUUAAGCGGAAGCCUCGGAUGGAAGCAUAGCUACUUAGUGGCGGACGGGUGAGUAACGCGUGGGCAACCUGCCCUGUACCGGGGGAUAACACUUAGAAAUAGGUGCUAAUACCGCAUAAGCGCACAGCUUCGCAUGAAGCCGUGUGAAAAACUCCGGUGGUACAGGAUGGACCCGCGUCUGAUUAGCUAGUUGGUGGGGUAGAGGCCUACCAAGGCGACGAUCAGUAGCCGGCCUGAGAGGGUGACCGGCCACAUGGGACUGAGACACGGCCCAAACUCCUACGGGAGGCAGCAGUGGGGAAUAUUGCACAAUGGGGGAAACCCUGAUGCCAGCGACGCCGCGUGAGUGAAGAAGUAUUUCGGUAUGUAAAGCUCUAUCAGCAGGGAAGAAAAUGACGGUACCUGACUAAGAAGCCCCGGCUAACUACGUGCCAGCCGCGGC
Molecule: ribosomal RNA, 499 nt
Filed under: uncultured bacterium
Lineage: Bacteria
Description: bacterial SSU rRNA
Rfam family: Bacterial small subunit ribosomal RNA
Source: RNAcentral